RNAcentral lists this transfer RNA (87 nucleotides) under Candidatus Dormiibacterota bacterium. RNAcentral's name for it is "tRNA-Leu". It matches the Rfam family "tRNA". From Rfam's summary of the family: Transfer RNA (tRNA) molecules are approximately 80 nucleotides in length. Their secondary structure includes four short double-helical elements and three loops (D, anti-codon, and T loops). The record is from RNAcentral. Lineage: Bacteria; Bacillati; Candidatus Dormiibacterota.
GCGGGAGUGGAGUAAUUGGCAGCCUCGAUGCACUCAAAAUGCAUUGCCUGAAAGGGCGUGUGGGUUCGAGUCCCACCUCCCGCACCA